UACGUAGGUAGCAAGCGUUAUCCGGAAUUAUUGGGCGUAAAGAGCGCGCAGGUGGUUGAUUAAGUCUGAUGUGAAAGCCCACGGCUUAACCGUGGAGGGUCAUUGGAAACUGGUCGACUUGAGUGCAGAAGAGGGAAGUGGAAUUCCAUGUGUAGCGGUGAAAUGCGUAGAGAUAUGGAGGAACACCAGUGGCGAAGGCGGCUUCCUGGUCUGUAACUGACACUGAGGCGCGAAAGCGUGGGGAGCAAACAGGAUUAGAUA
RNAcentral lists this ribosomal RNA (261 nucleotides) under uncultured prokaryote. Its description in RNAcentral is "partial 16S ribosomal RNA". It matches the Rfam family "Bacterial small subunit ribosomal RNA", at positions 524 to 784 of the family's 1533-position model. The record is from RNAcentral.